This 254-nucleotide ribosomal RNA is filed under the name uncultured bacterium. RNAcentral's name for it is "partial 16S ribosomal RNA". It matches the Rfam family "Bacterial small subunit ribosomal RNA", at positions 524 to 776 of the family's 1533-position model. The record is from RNAcentral.
UACGUAGGGUGCGAGCGUUGUCCGGAAUUAUUGGGCGUAAAGAGCUCGUAGGCGGUCUGUCGCGUCGAUCGUGAAAACUUGGGGCUUAACCCUGAGCUUGCGGUCGAUACGGGCAUGACUGGAGUUCGGCAGGGGAGACUGGAAUUCCUGGUGUAGCGGUGAAAUGCGCAGAUAUCAGGAGGAACACCGGUGGCGAAGGCAGCCCCCUGGGUUAACACUGACGCUCAUGCACGAAAGCGUGGGGAGCAAACAGG